This 584-nucleotide long non-coding RNA is filed under the name Olea europaea (common olive). Its description in RNAcentral is "long non-coding RNA (OEUR_LNC005556)". Lineage: Eukaryota; Viridiplantae; Streptophyta; Magnoliopsida; Lamiales; Oleaceae. The record is from RNAcentral.
GAUGUGUCAGGUAUACUUAGUUAUUAUUUUAUUUAUUUAGGGAAAAUUAGCAGGAUGUUCAAUUUACUCGUGGAGGGAUUUUGCUUGGUGUGUGGCUCUAGAAUGGCUAUGGGUGAAUUUGAAUUUGAAUCGAAAUUUAGCUCCUCCAGGUUGGUUUCUUCAACGAACGUGCCAUGGCCUAGUUCAUUAUUUGAAUCGAAAUAUAGCUCCUGGUUUCUUGAACAGAGCUCCAACGGAAACAAACUAUAUGUAUGUUCGAUCUCACAGUAGUCAAAGUUAAUUUUUACAACCCGACCUUUAUUUGAAUGAUUGUCUUAAUGGGAAACUUUGACAAAAUUAUUUGAAUAACGUGUCCAUUUGUAACCCAGAUUCUGAUAGUUCCCUCCCCCUUCCCACUUUCUAAAGCAUCAUGGUUUUAUGAAAAAUGUGUGGUUUGUGGCAGGAAAGAAUUCUGAUUGCGGCAUCUUAGCUUUAAUCACACAAUCCUACCGUUGGACUAAAGGACGAAAUGAAAGAAAAAUAAAAAUUAUUAACGAAUUAUUAUCUAGUACGAAUUAAAAAAUUUAGUGUGUACAUUGUACAUU